Molecule: ribosomal RNA, 301 nt
Filed under: uncultured bacterium
Lineage: Bacteria
Description: partial 16S ribosomal RNA
Rfam family: Bacterial small subunit ribosomal RNA
Source: RNAcentral
CAGCCGCCGCGGGAAUACGGAGGGUGCAAGCGUUAUCCGGAUUUAUUGGGUUUAAAGGGUCCGUAGGCGGACUUAUAAGUCAGUGGUGAAAGCCUGUCGCUUAACGAUAGAACUGCCAUUGAUACUGUAAGUCUUGAGUAUAUUUGAGGUAGCUGGAAUAAGUAGUGUAGCGGUGAAAUGCAUAGAUAUUACUUAGAACACCAAUUGCGAAGGCAGGUUACCAAGAUAUAACUGACGCUGAGGGACGAAAGCGUGGGUAGCGAACAGGAUUAGAUACCCGGGUAGUCCCUGUCUCUUAUAC